Molecule: ribosomal RNA, 303 nt
Filed under: uncultured bacterium
Lineage: Bacteria
Description: partial 16S ribosomal RNA
Rfam family: Bacterial small subunit ribosomal RNA
Source: RNAcentral
AGCAGUCGCCGCGGGAAUACGGAGGGAGCUUGCGUUGUUCGGAAUUACUGGGCGUAAAGCGCGCGUAGGCGGUUACUCAAGUCAGAGGUGAAAGCCCGGGGCUCAACCCCGGAACUGCCUUUGAAACUAGGUGACUAGAAUCUUGGAGAGGUCAGUGGAAUUCCGAGUGUAGAGGUGAAAUUCGUAGAUAUUCGGAAGAACACCAGUGGCGAAGGCGACUGACUGGACAAGUAUUGACGCUGAGGUGCGAAAGCGUGGGGAGCAAACAGGAUUAGAUACCCGCGUAGUCCCUGUCUCUUAUAC